AGGACGAACGCUGGCGGCGUGCUUAACACAUGCAAGUCGAGCGGAAAGGCCCUUCGGGGUACUCGAGCGGCGAACGGGUGAGUAACACGUGAGUAACCUGCCCCAAACUUUGGGAUAACCCUCGGAAACGGGGGCUAAUACCGGAUAUGACUGCUGAUCGCAUGGUUGGUGGUGGAAAGUUUUUCGGUUGGGAUGGGCUCGCGGCCUAUCAGCUUGUUGGUGGGGUAAUGGCCUACCAAGGCGAGGACGGGUAG
This 254-nucleotide ribosomal RNA is filed under the name uncultured bacterium. RNAcentral's name for it is "partial small subunit ribosomal RNA". It matches the Rfam family "Bacterial small subunit ribosomal RNA", at positions 26 to 286 of the family's 1533-position model. The record is from RNAcentral.